AGAGCGGCUGGACUGAGCUGUAAAUGAUCUCAGACCCUGGCAUCCACCCUCACCUGUUUCCUUCAAAGAGAUAAUGUGAUGGCCUGUCGUGUUAAGUUGGUGCGUCAGCAGAAGAUCUGACAAUCUGUGUUUGGAUAUGCAUCUCUGCCUCAAAUCCAUCCUUUCAAUGACAUCACUCACCACCCCUCCCAUUGGACAAAGUGACCGUCAGUCCGAGGCACUGACCAAUGACUGCCCGGCAGUGCAUCUGAGGGAGGUGUGGCAGGUGCAGUGCUGUAGCCAUGGCGACAGUGGAUGCUGAGCACUGCCACGACUUUGUGUAGGCAGAGUCUGAAUGGGGAUGACAUCACUCAGGGAGACGGGAGAAAAACAACAUCGCCUUCAGUUCCUGUGUCUGUUUUUCUGCCCGUGACGAUAACACCAAAUGUUAUUUGGAGGAAGAUGCAAAACUAAAGACGGUCGUUUUGUUAGAAAUCAACUUUGAAUCCCAAAGCAAAGCCAGAAACUGGCCUCUCUCUUUUGCUGUACGCAAAAAGAUGACUGCAGAAGAAAACCAGUACUGAUACAAUCUUCUCCAUUACAGGACAAAUGUUUUGGAAACUGUUUGAAAAAUGAGUUUUGGCUGAAUUUUAUAUUUAGGAAACCUUUGUACAUAUGUGUGAUUAAAGAAAUAUGACACUUUAUUAAAAGCUGAGGGGAAAAAACAAAAUAGAAAUCAUUAAAAGUUAUAAAAAUAUAUUUUUUAACUGCAAAAAUAAAAGAUCAAAUUCAUUAAUGCUGAUUAAAUCACCAUGAAGUACAGAAUCUCUAGAAAUAAAAUUCAACAGAAAAAUAUUCUUAAAAUACUUAAAAUUCAAAAAAUUUGUUCAUUUUAAAAUACAACAGUCACAAUAAACAGAAGAACGUGACAACGCUGCGUUUACUGACUGUUUUAUUUAGCUGCAUCAGCCCAGUUACACCAGUUUGUGCGCUGGUUUUUCCACCAUGAAGGUUUUAAUGUCUCAUGUGACAAGAUGGGAACAAACAGCAUACCCCUGAUGUUUAGAUGCUCCUCCUCACUGAAUCUCUCUCUCUCUCUUUCUCCUUCUCUGGUUGUGACUCACGCUCUGGGCAUGAGGGCCGGCCCCUCCUUCAGAUGACAUCAGAGGGCUUGAAAUAGCUGCUGCAGCAGCAGCAGCAGCAGCAUUAGAGCUUCCAGUCAUGGGAUCCUGCUGUGAGGCCUGCAACCCAGGCAGCUACUUCCAGCUGAGGAGGGGAGUGAGACUGGGAGGGGUGGGCCAUAAAAACAAAGAGACGGGGGAGAUAAUGAAGUGACAGGAGCAACAAGUCAGAGGGGUGAUCGGCUCAACAUCCUUUCAGAGCUACUCUCACUCAAAAGGGGUCCAAAAUAUGAGAGCGGCAAUUGUGUUUGGUCAAACUGAACACGUGUACCUGGAUAUUUUUCAUUUUCACUGGUUUAAUCUGUCGUCUUUGUUUCUUACUUUGCAAUAAACCAGUAACAUGAACUAAUUCAUGGUACAUAAUAUAGCUGCAAAUAUGUCAACCAUAUAUGUGGUUAUAACAGUAGUUGCCCAUAAUAAACAUGGCAACGUUUCAAAGAAUGGAUGCCAACGUAUGUAGAAAUAAGCUUACACAGACUGAUCUCCACACUCAGAAUCCGACUGUUUUUUCCAAUCCUGGCUCUGUAUGAUGUCACUGAGAGCUAAUGCCUCAUAACAAAAUAUGAAUAGCUCAGGUUUAUGGACUCGAAUUGUGACAUUUGAUCAGGACAGUAAAAAUGUGUAUGUAAUGUAUUUCUCUGCAACACCUACUUUUUACAGAUAAAAACUGGGGAUGUGUCACCGUGGCAACCAAGAAAACAGCUUUAAAGGAAGUGCCAACGAUUGUGUCUUAACCCAGACUGUGUCCUGUUUCAUUCCUAACUCUAACCAAUGGUUUUUAAUACUAAAUUUAAUCAAAGCACACAUUUAAACGUUAAAAAAAUUAAUAAUACUUGUGAAGUGAUUUACUCGAGCUCCACCAUCAGCUCCUCCUGUGCCCGCAGCCUUCUCCAGCCUCCAACCAUGAACUGUUUCACCGUUUGAAAGUGGAAAAUCCUGAUUUCAUGAACAUGGAUUGUACAUAUGAGACCGGACGGAUUUAAAGUCAGGGUCAGACUGUCUUCCCGUCUCGGGCACACAGCUCUGGUUGCGAGCAGUGGCAUCCACCCACCUGCUGCUUGGGCCUCCUGUUUGAGAGGGGCGGCCUAUCAGAAGAACGUUGGUUUAAACUGUGAGGACAUAAACAGCUCACAUGAGAAAGAAGAUGAACUGAGAUUCCACGUCAAGUAUUUCUGUUUAUGCAUGAACGGCAUGCAUAUUUGCAUUAAAUCCUCUAGCAGAAAGCAGAGAAAUAGUAUGGAAAGAUUUCAUUACCCUCAUGUUCUCAGUUUACCUCUCACUCCUCAUGCUUCCCUCACACCCAAACACUUCUCUUUAUCCCUCCCUCCGCUCUCACAUCACAACCUGUCUGUGGAUGAAGUGACAGAGUGUGAACAAAAGAAAACAGCCUUCCACCGAGACCGAGAGAGAGACCCUCCUGUGCAAGAGAAGUAGGACAGGAAACGUGAGGACAGUGAACAUGUGAGUAACACGCGCAGACAUAAACAGUCAGGGUGUGCUGCUGUUAGCUAUCUGCAGCCAUCACAACACCAACAGCACACCCAUCCAUAUUCCCCCUGCCUGCCGCUCUAUCUGCACACAGGAAAUGGACCUUACAAAGUAAAGGCUAGAUUCUCACUCUGGGCUGCCUGGUCUGUGUCUCAUAACUGCACUCAGUCAUCAGUAAACAAAAAGAAUGAUUUAAAAAAACCCAAAACAUCUUUUUUUUCUCUAAAGUUCGUCUAAACGUUUGAAAAAAUUCAUAAAUUACAGUACAACCUCAAUUACUAGUGAGAUGCUGUGUGAAGUGUAAAUGAAAACAGAAUGCAAUGAUCCGGAAAUCAAAUAAAACCAUAUUUUAUUUACCAUAGAACAAAACAAAAGGUUAGCUCUUUUGGAGUUUUAAGGCAGCAACACAUCCUAAAAAAAGUUGAGUGCUGUGUGGAUCCCCUCUUCUCUGAACAGCAGUCUGUAAACAUCUGGGCACUGAGGACACUCAGCUGGACUCUCAGGAGAUGAUAGAUGAUUCUAGCUGGUCUGCUUUCUUGCAACUGUAUAUAUAACUUUGGAUUAUACAGAUUAUACAGUAUGAGUAUGUCAAAAAUGUAGACUCUCAGGAAAAAGUAACAUUUUUACACUUAACAUCACAUAAUCUCUAUUUAUUACACGUGCAGUGAAAUAUUUCAAGCAGUUUUUAUUUCGAUCUGGAUAGUUUUCAUACAAAUCUAGAAUCCAGUGUCUUAUUUGAAUAGUUUGUUUUGAGUUUUAGUAUAUUGUGUAUCUCUUGGACUGUUUCAAUAAACACCACCAGAGUAAUGGGUUGCGGUUGAUGAUCAUGAACUUUGUUUGUUUUAGCUGCUUUCCACCCGAUGGAAAAGGACCUCCCUCUUCCUUCUCCUUUCCCCUUAUUACACAUUAUCAAACGAAAGAUAAGAAACACCCAAAAAUACAGGCUGGAGUAGUGGGUGUAACUGUAAAUAAAUAAAGAGACCAAGGAUGGAAUAAUACAGAAGCUUGAAGAAAUGAAGGCCUGGAUAAUAGAAAACAACAGCGGUGGAUGAUCGCAGGAAAAGCAAGU
Molecule: long non-coding RNA, 3717 nt
Organism: Astatotilapia calliptera (eastern happy)
Lineage: Eukaryota; Metazoa; Chordata; Actinopteri; Cichliformes; Cichlidae
Source: Ensembl